UCGGAUAUGGUGUAAUGGCUAACAUUGCCGCCUCUCAAUUGAAGUUCUAUUCACGCGGCAGCUCGGGGUUCGAUUCCCCGUAUCCGAA
Termitomyces sp. T32_za158 is the source of this 88-nucleotide non-coding RNA. The record is from the annotation of a GenBank genome assembly. NCBI's taxonomy places the organism in Eukaryota, Fungi, Basidiomycota, Agaricomycetes, Agaricales, Lyophyllaceae.